CCUACGGGAUGCAGCAGUGGGGAAUAUUGGACAAUGGGCGAAAGCCUGAUCCAGCCAUGCCGCGUGUGUGAAGAAGGCCUUCGGGUUGUAAAGCACUUUCAGUGGGGAAGAAAGCCUUGGGGCUAAUACCCUCGAGGAAGGACAUCACCCACAGAAGAAGCACCGGCUAACUCCGUGCCAGCAGCCGCGGUAAUACGGAGGGUGCGAGCGUUAAUCGGAAUUACUGGGCUUAAAGCGCGCGUAGGCGGUCUGAUAAGCCGGUUGUGAAAGCCCCGGGCUUAACCUGGGAACGGCAUCCGGAACUGUCAGGCUAGAGUGCAGGAGAGGAAGGUAGAAUUCCCGGUGUAGCGGUGAAAUGCGUAGAUAUCGGGAGGAAUACCAGUGGCGAAGGCGGCCUUCUGGAAUGACACUGACGCUGAGGUGCGAAAGCGUGGGUAGCAAACAGGAUUAGAUACCCCUGUAGUC
RNAcentral lists this ribosomal RNA (465 nucleotides) under Vreelandella stevensii. Its description in RNAcentral is "partial 16S ribosomal RNA". It matches the Rfam family "Bacterial small subunit ribosomal RNA", at positions 338 to 795 of the family's 1533-position model. Lineage: Bacteria; Pseudomonadati; Pseudomonadota; Gammaproteobacteria; Oceanospirillales; Halomonadaceae. The record is from RNAcentral.